Molecule: transfer RNA, 72 nt
Filed under: Nelumbo nucifera (sacred lotus)
Lineage: Eukaryota; Viridiplantae; Streptophyta; Magnoliopsida; Proteales; Nelumbonaceae
Rfam family: tRNA
About the family: Transfer RNA (tRNA) molecules are approximately 80 nucleotides in length.
Source: Rfam by way of RNAcentral
GGGUUCAUAGCUCAGUGGUAGAGCAUUUGAUUGCAGAUCAAGAGGUCACUGAUUCAAACCCGGUUGGGCCCU